CCUACGGGAGGCAGCAGUAGGGAAUCUUCCACAAUGGGCGAAAGCCUGAUGGAGCAACGCCGCGUGGGUGAAGAAGGUCUUCGGAUCGUAAAACCCUGUUGUUAGAGAAGAAAGUGCGUGAGAGUAACUGUUCACGUUUCGACGGUAUCUAACCAGAAAGCCACGGCUAACUACGUGCCAGCAGCCGCGGUAAUACGUAGGUGGCAAGCGUUAUCCGGAUUUAUUGGGCGUAAAGGGAACGCAGGCGGUCUUUUAAGUCUGAUGUGAAAGCCUUCGGCUUAACCGGGGUAGCGCAUUGGAAACUGGGAGACGUGAGUGCAGAAGAGGAGAGUGGAACUCCAGGUGUAGCGGUGAAAUGCGUAGAUAUAUGGAAGAACACCAGUGGCGAAAGCGGCUCUCUGGUCUGUAACUGACGCUGAGGUUCGAAAGCGUGGGUAGCAAACAGGAUUAGAUACCCUGGUAGUC
This 465-nucleotide ribosomal RNA is filed under the name uncultured bacterium. RNAcentral describes it as "partial 16S ribosomal RNA". It matches the Rfam family "Bacterial small subunit ribosomal RNA", at positions 338 to 795 of the family's 1533-position model. The record is from RNAcentral.